GAAUGCGAUCAUACCAGCACUAACGCACCGGAUCCCAUCAGAACUCCGAAGUUAAGCGUGCCAGGACGAGAGUAGUACUAGGAUGGGUGACCCCCUAGGAAGUCCUCGUGUUGCAUCCC
Molecule: ribosomal RNA, 119 nt
Filed under: Nicotiana sylvestris (wood tobacco)
Lineage: Eukaryota; Viridiplantae; Streptophyta; Magnoliopsida; Solanales; Solanaceae
Source: RNAcentral